Long non-coding RNA from Fukomys damarensis (Damara mole-rat), 202 nucleotides. RefSeq lists it as uncharacterized. The transcript is spliced from 3 exons. The record is from RefSeq and is a predicted model, not a curated record. Lineage: Eukaryota; Metazoa; Chordata; Mammalia; Rodentia; Bathyergidae.
UGUGUGCUCCCUGAAACUUGGCUUUUGCUGUACUCUUUAAAAUCGCAGUCCUGACUAACUGCAUUCCAUGCCUAAAGAAGAGCUCUGACUGCAGGAGCUUGUAACAGAAGAGGAUUUUUUCUGUCUCUUUACCAAACUUCUGCUGCUUCGACUAACAGAAGACCAGUACCAGGGAUUGAACUCAGGACCUUGGUGCUUGUCA